Molecule: ribosomal RNA, 783 nt
Filed under: Lacticaseibacillus rhamnosus
Lineage: Bacteria; Bacillati; Bacillota; Bacilli; Lactobacillales; Lactobacillaceae
Description: partial 23S ribosomal RNA
Rfam family: Bacterial large subunit ribosomal RNA
Source: RNAcentral
GGUUAAGUUAAUAAGGGCGCACGGUGGAUGCCUUGGCACUAGAAGCCGAAGAAGGACGUGACAAACGACGAAAUGCUUUGGGGAGCUGUAAGUAAGCGCUGAUCCAGAGAUGUCCGAAUGGGGGAACCCACUAACUAAUGGUUAGUAUCCAUAACUGUUAAGGUUAUGAGAAGGAAGACGCAGUGAACUGAAACAUCUAAGUAGCUGCAGGAAGAGAAAGCAAACGCGAUUGCCUUAGUAGCGGCGAGCGAAACGGCAGGAGGGCAAACCGAAGUGUUUACACUUCGGGGUUGUAGGACUGCGACGUGGGACUUUAAAAGGAUAGAAGAAUUACCUGGGAAGGUAAGCCAAAGAGAGUAAAAGCCUCGUAUUUAAAAUUCUUUUGAGCCCUAGCAGUAUCCUGAGUACGGCGAGACACGUGAAAUCUCGUUGGAAUCUGGGAGGACCAUCUCCCAACCCUAAAUACUCUCUAGUGACCGAUAGUGAACCAGUACCGUGAGGGAAAGGUGAAAAGCACCCCGGGAGGGGAGUGAAAUAGAACCUGAAACCGUGUGCCUACAACAAGUUCGAGCCCGUUAAUGGGUGAGAGCGUGCCUUUUGUAGAAUGAACCGGCGAGUUACGAUAUGAUGCGAGGUUAAGUUGAAGAGACGGAGCCGCCGUCCAUUUCGGAUUUGUCACCGGUUGCACUCUUUUCGGCUGCGACCGUCAUUGCAGAAGCCGCUGCACCUGGAUCGCCGAUGGUUGAAUCAUUUUUUGGCGAGUAAGCCGUGGAGAUAUCAUUG